Molecule: ribosomal RNA, 433 nt
Filed under: uncultured bacterium
Lineage: Bacteria
Description: partial 16S ribosomal RNA
Rfam family: Bacterial small subunit ribosomal RNA
Source: RNAcentral
AACGAACGCUGGCGGCAUGCCUAACACAUGCAAGUCGAACGAGACCGGCGGGUCUAGUGGCGAACGGGUGCGUAAGGGGGGGGAACCUGCCCGUAGGUUCGGAAUCACUGGGCGAAAGGGGGGCUAAUACCGGAUAAUGUCUUCGGACCAAAGAGUUAUCGACUUGGGAUGGGCCAGGGUUGGAUUAGCUAGUUGGGAGGGUAAAAGCCUACCAAGGCGAGGUGCCAUAGCUGGUCUGAGAGGAUGAUCAGCGACACUGAGACUGAGACACGGCGCAGACUCUUGCGGGAGGCAGGAGUGGGUAAUCCUGGACAGCGGGCGAGAGCAUGAUGCACUACUGGCGGGUGAGUGAUGAAGUCCUUAGGGUUGUACAGCUCUUUUAUACGGGAUGAUAAUGACGGUACCGGGAGAAUAAGCUCCGGCUAACUCCGUG